GACGAACGCUGGCGGCGUGCCUAAUACAUGCAAGUAGGACGCAGUUGCGAACGGAUGAGUAACGCGAAGGUAACUGCAUGUUAGAGGGGGAUAACAAUUGGAAACGAUAGCUAAUACCGCAGACUAGUAGAAUGACCUGCGUUGUAUUAGCACGUAGGUAGGGUAAUGGCCUACCUAGGCGACGUUACAUAGCCGAGCUGAGAGGGUGACCGGCCAAACUGGGACUGGGACACGGCCCAGAAUUCUACUGGAGGCAGCAGUAGGGAAUCGUCGGCAAUGGGGGGAACCCUGACCGAGCAACGGCGCGUGAGUGAAGGAGGUUUUCGGAUCGGAAAGCUCUUUUGUUAAGGAAGCGGUACUUAACCAGAAAGGGACGGCUAACGACGUGCCAGCAGCCGCGGUAAUAC
Molecule: ribosomal RNA, 407 nt
Filed under: uncultured bacterium
Lineage: Bacteria
Description: partial 16S ribosomal RNA
Rfam family: Bacterial small subunit ribosomal RNA
Source: RNAcentral